RNAcentral lists this ribosomal RNA (274 nucleotides) under uncultured bacterium. RNAcentral describes it as "partial 16S ribosomal RNA". It matches the Rfam family "Bacterial small subunit ribosomal RNA", at positions 79 to 353 of the family's 1533-position model. The record is from RNAcentral.
CUAAGUUUGAUGGCGACCGGCGCACGGGUGAGUAACACGUAUCCAACCUGCCGAUGACUCGGGGAUAGCCUUUCGAAAGAAAGAUUAAUACCCGAUGGCAUAGUUCUUCCGCAUGGUGGAACUAUUAAAGAAUUUCGGUCAUCGAUGGGGAUGCGUUCCAUUAGGUUGUUGGCGGGUAACGGCCCACCAAGCCUUCGAUGGAUAGGGGUUCUGAGAGGAAGGUCCCCCACAUUGGAACUGAGACACGGUCCAAACUCCUACGGGAGGCAGCAUG